GAUGAACGCUAGCGGCAGGCUUAAUACAUGCAAGUCGUGGGGCAGCAGGACUGUAGCAAUACAGUUGCUGGCGACCGGCAAACGGGUGCGGAACACGUACGCAACUUACCCUGCACUGGGGGAUAGCCCGGGGAAACCCGGAUUAAUACCCCGUAAUAUAAUGGAGUGGCAUCACUUUAUUAUUAAAGCUCCGGCGGUUCGGGCUGGGCGUGCGGCUGAUUAGGUAGUUGGUUGAGGUAACGGCUCACCAAGCCUACGAUCAGUAACUGGUGUGAGAGCACGACCAGUCAGACGGGGACUGAGACAAGGGCGCGACUCCUACGGGAGGCAGCAGUAAGGAAGAUAGGGGAAUGGAGGAAACUCUGACCCAGCCAUGCCGGGUGGAGGAAGAAGGCGCUCGGGAUUGUAAACCUCUUGUAUAGGGGACGAAACCUGUGUAUUCUUACGCAGUUGACGGUACCCUAGGAAUAAGCACCGGCUAACUCCGUG
Molecule: ribosomal RNA, 489 nt
Filed under: uncultured bacterium
Lineage: Bacteria
Description: partial 16S ribosomal RNA
Rfam family: Bacterial small subunit ribosomal RNA
Source: RNAcentral